UUUCCGUAGGUGAACCUGCGGAAGGAUCAUUAAAGAACCGCCCCGUUUUUUAUAAAUGGGCUCUAUUCCCAAACCGUGUAUACAUACCUUUGUUGCUUUGGCAGGCCGCCUCCGGGCGUCGGCUCCGGCUGAUAGUGCCUGCCAGAGGACCCAAACUCUGUGUUUAGUGAUGUCUGAGUACUAUAUAAUAGUUAAAACUUUCAACAACGGAUCUCUUGGUUCUG
This 224-nucleotide unclassified non-coding RNA is filed under the name plant metagenome. Its description in RNAcentral is "partial contains small subunit ribosomal RNA, internal transcribed spacer 1, and 5.8S ribosomal RNA". The record is from RNAcentral.